AAAACAUGUCUAUAUGAUUGAUAUAUAAAGUCUGGCCUGCCCACUGAUUGAAGUUAAAGGGCCGCGGUAUUCUGACCGUGCGAAGGUAGCAUAAUCAUUAGUCUUUUAAUUGAAGGCUUGUAUGAAUGGUUGGACAAAAAAUAAGCUGUCUCGGUUGUAGAAAUUGAAUUUAACUUUUAAGUGAAAAGGCUUAAAUAAACUAAGGGGACGAUAAGACCCUAUAAAGCUUUACAAUUAUUUAGUUAAAUUGCAGUUUGUAAGUAUAACGUGGUUUAAUUAAUGCUUGUUUCGUUGGGGUGACGAGAAUAUAAUUUGUAACUGUUCUUUUAUAAUUUGUUACAAUGAUUUUUGGCUGGUAAAUGAUCCUUUAUUAAAGAUUAAAAGAUUAAGUUACUUUAGGGAUAACAGCGUAAUCUUCUUUGAAAGUCCAUAUCGACAAGAAGGGUUGCGACCUCGAUGUUGAAUUAAGGUUUCUUUGUGGUGUAGUAGUUACAAGUAGAGGGUCUGUUCGACCUUUAAUUCCUUACAUGAUCUGAUC
RNAcentral lists this ribosomal RNA (538 nucleotides) under Alcockpenaeopsis hungerfordii. Its description in RNAcentral is "partial large subunit ribosomal RNA". It matches the Rfam family "Bacterial large subunit ribosomal RNA", at positions 1810 to 2610 of the family's 2925-position model. The record is from RNAcentral. Lineage: Eukaryota; Metazoa; Arthropoda; Malacostraca; Decapoda; Penaeidae.